Vigna angularis (adzuki bean) is the source of this 260-nucleotide long non-coding RNA. RefSeq lists it as uncharacterized. The record is from RefSeq and is a predicted model, not a curated record. The transcript has 3 exons. Lineage: Eukaryota; Viridiplantae; Streptophyta; Magnoliopsida; Fabales; Fabaceae.
CCUUAUCAGCCAAGGGUAUUGUAACUGCACCUUGAAUCUCUGUCAAGUACAGCUCAAAAGCGUUUCUUAGUUUUUGACAUUUUGAAAGUAUCCUGCGGGAUGUGAUUGCCUAAGCAGUUUGUAAUCCAGUAUCAUCAGAGUGAAGGUUUCAAGUUCAAAAGGGUGCCUACCAGAUUCAAUAUCUAAAAUUAUAAGUGAAAUUCUAUCGAUGAGUCUUUGAAGCUCUAAGCACAAAGAAUGGUGUACCUGCACAAAUGAAA